Molecule: non-coding RNA, 74 nt
Organism: Aspergillus lentulus
Lineage: Eukaryota; Fungi; Ascomycota; Eurotiomycetes; Eurotiales; Aspergillaceae
Source: the annotation of a RefSeq genome assembly
GGACGCGUAGCUCAGUUGGUUAGAGCGACGAGCUUAUGCCUCGUAGGUCGGGAGUUCGACUCUCCCCGUGUCCA